GUGAUCCGUCUGGACUCCUCACCCAGGUUUGUGGUGGUCUUUAACCCACUGGAACAGGAGCGGCUCAGUGUGGUGUCCCUGCUGGUCAACUCACCCCGAGUGCGAGUGCUUUCAGAGGAGGGUCAGCCCUUGUCUGUGCAGAUCAGUGUGCAGUGGAGCUCCGCCACCAACAUGGUCCCCGAUGUCUACCAGGUGUCAGUGCCUGUCCGCCUGCCAGCCCUGGGCCUGGGUGUGCUGCAGCUGCAGCCAGAUCUCGAUGGACCCUACACACUGCAGUCUUCGGUGCAUGUCUACCUGAACGGCGUGAAACUGUCUGUCAGCAGGCAAACAACAUUCCCUCUCCGUGUUGUGGACUCGGGCACCAGUGACUUCGCCAUCAGCAAUCGAUACAUGCAGGGGUCAGGGCUGUGUUUUUUGGCAGAGCGUCCGACGUGUGGACGAAGAGCAGGAACAGCAGGUGGACAUGAAGCUCUUCGUCUAUGGAACCCGCACAUCCAAGGAUAAGAGUGGUGCCUACCU
RNAcentral lists this long non-coding RNA (519 nucleotides) under Rattus norvegicus (Norway rat). RNAcentral's name for it is "long non-coding RNA NONRATT002811". Lineage: Eukaryota; Metazoa; Chordata; Mammalia; Rodentia; Muridae. The record is from RNAcentral.